GAUGAACGCUGGCGGCGUGCCUAAUACAUGCAAGUCGAGCGAACAGACGAGGGGCUUGCUCCUCUGACGUUAGCGGCGGACGGGUGAGUAACACGUGGAUAACCUACCUAUAAGACUGGGAUAACUUCGGGAAACCGGAGCUAAUACCGGAUAAUAUAUUGAACCGCAUGGUUCAAUAGUGAAAGACGGUUUUGCUGUCACUUAUAGAUGGAUCCGCGCCGCAUUGGCUAGUUGGUAAGGUAACGGCUUACCAAGGCAACGAUGCGUAGCCGACCUGAGAGGGUGAUCGGCCGCACUGGAACUGAGACACGGUCCAGACUCCUACGGGAGGCAGCAGUAGGGAAUCUUCCGCAAUGGGCGAAAGCCUGACGGAGCAACGCCGCGUGAGUGAUGAAGGUCUUCGGAUCGUAAAACUCUGUUAUUAGGGAAGAACAAAUGUGUAAGUAACUGUGCACGUCUUGACGGUACCUAAUCAGAAAGCCACGGCUAACUACGUG
This 497-nucleotide ribosomal RNA is filed under the name uncultured bacterium. RNAcentral's name for it is "partial 16S ribosomal RNA". It matches the Rfam family "Bacterial small subunit ribosomal RNA", at positions 28 to 507 of the family's 1533-position model. The record is from RNAcentral.